UAGUAGUAAUAAAGUAAAAUAAAACUAAUUUAAUUCAAUGGCGGCAUCUAAUCUAAUUAGAGGAAUUUGUUUUAUAAUCGAUAACCCCCGUUAAAUUUCACUUACACUUUAAAGUUCAUAUACCAUUGUUUUAAGAAUAUAUUUAAUAAAUUCAUUCAUAAUAAUAUUUAAUAAAUCAAAUCAAGGUGUGAUUUAUGUUUAAGUAAAAAUGAAUUACAAUAAAAAUAAUUUAAUUAAUCAUUUAAAAUAUAAACUAAAUUAGGAUUUAAUAUCAAAUUUUAAAUAUAAAAUAAAAUUGAAUAAGAUAAUAAAUGUGC
Molecule: ribosomal RNA, 317 nt
Filed under: Gradungula sorenseni
Lineage: Eukaryota; Metazoa; Arthropoda; Arachnida; Araneae; Gradungulidae
Description: partial 12S ribosomal RNA
Source: RNAcentral